Molecule: long non-coding RNA, 970 nt
Organism: Mytilus californianus (California mussel)
Lineage: Eukaryota; Metazoa; Mollusca; Bivalvia; Mytilida; Mytilidae
Exons: 3
Source: RefSeq, a predicted model, not a curated record
UGGCAGUCACAUGAAUUGUGUGUCCCGAUUUAUAUUCACCUGUAUACUUUAUAGUUAUUGUUUUCAUUUAUUGUGGACACAACAAAUUUACUGAUUGAUGACUCUAUUGAUGUAGUAAUAUGCAGAGUAUGUAAAUUGUAUGCUGUGCCUAUUUCCUUGCCAGUAAAACUCACUCCACAAGUGAGUUUAUUUUAAACUGGUAUUAAAUCAUCAGAACCCUAGAACUGAGUUUGUUGUUAUUGACAUCGCAAACGAACCUGUUACACAAAUUUGAAGAUCUAACAUUGUUGGGCUAAAUUUGAGACGAAUUAUAUAUAUAUGGUGUUAGCCCUGUAUAACCACGUGUUAUCCGAUGGAGAAUGUCUGUCAUAAAGUUGUCACAUGUUUAGACGUGUAUGAUAAAAUUAAAAAUUUGAUGUGGCGGCAUGGUAAUUAACUUCAUCAUCCUUUACGACAGACAAAAUAGCUAAUCUGAAAGGUACACUAUCUACUUGCCACUAUACACCAUGUACUGUGUUACAACCCUUGAUAAAGCCGACGAGGAAAGGCAUUACAUCGACCACCGAAAGCUAUAUUUUUAUGUAGCAUAGGUGACCGAGUGGUCUAGGAAGCUGGACACGGUGCAAGCGGUGUUGCCACGAUGUCACAGACGCAAGGGUUCGAAUCCCGCUGAGGGAAGAACAAAAAUUUGGUAACGCAAAUUUGCAGAUCUAACAUUUUGGGCUAAAUUUGAAACAAAUUAUAUAUAUAUGGUGUUAGCCCUGUAUAACCACGUGUUAUCCAAUGGAGAAUGUCUGUCAUAAAGUUGUCACAUGGUUAGACGUGUAUAUAUAUAUGUAUAUAUAUAUAAAAUGUUUCAGUUACAAGUUUUACAAGAUAUCAUAGUAAAAUGUCGCAACCCUAGCUUUUACCAUAAUUCUCUUGAUUUGUUUCUGUAAUAUAUAUCUAUAUAAGUUUAUAAAACAUUAAA